RNAcentral lists this ribosomal RNA (230 nucleotides) under uncultured bacterium. RNAcentral describes it as "partial 16S ribosomal RNA". It matches the Rfam family "Bacterial small subunit ribosomal RNA", at positions 109 to 339 of the family's 1533-position model. The record is from RNAcentral.
CGUAACACGUAUGCAAUCUGCCCCUGACUGGAGCAUAGCCCGGGGAAACUCGGAUUAAUACUCCAUAAUAUUAUGAAAUGGCAUCAUUUUAUAAUCAAAGUUCCGACGGUCAGGGAUGAGCAUGCGGCCCAUUAGCUAGUUGGUGAGGUAAUGGCUCACCAAGGCUACGAUGGGUAGGGGGUCUGAGAGGAUGAUCCCCCACACUGGUACUGAGACACGGACCAGACUCC